Molecule: long non-coding RNA, 630 nt
Filed under: Trifolium pratense (red clover)
Lineage: Eukaryota; Viridiplantae; Streptophyta; Magnoliopsida; Fabales; Fabaceae
Description: long non-coding RNA (TPRA_LNC005502)
Source: RNAcentral
UUUUUUUUUCCAAGUAUUUCACUACGGGGAUUCCCAGGUAAGGGAAGUACCAAACAUUGCUGAUGACAGGUAAUUAUAUGAUGUUUUUAGUAGUAAUUUAGGGUAGUUUUAAUAGCAGUCGAAGCCCAAAAGCAAGGAAAUGCCUGGAAAAGUGAAGUUACUUGGCCCAGAAGCAAGAAACGUUGAAAAGGCAGCAAAAAAGGGGUAAAAACGUAAUAAACAGCGUGCACCAUCAUACCCACGAUGAGAUCCGGCGUGGCGCGAUGAGAAGGCAGUUUAAAUUGAAGAAAAUCCGCAACAAAUCUUUUCCAUCGUACCACGAUGACUUGUCAUCGUGGCACAAUGACUUGUCAUUGUGGCACGAUGAUGAUGGCAAAAGCACGCAGAAAAUCUUGAGGAAAUCUUCCAUCGUACCAUGAUAUGAUCCAUCGUGGCCACGAUAAGGCAAAAUUACACACCAUCGUGGCCACGAUAGGUGCAACACCCAAACCCCUUAACGCGAAUUUAUUGAAUAUAAAUAAAUAAAACACUUAAGAAAAUCUAGGCAUCACAUGUUAUAAUACAAAAUCACGGCAAAUUUAAAAUCAUGCUAGCACAGCGGUGAUUAAAAGCAAAUAUAGAUCAUAGUGC